Long non-coding RNA from Sphaeramia orbicularis (orbiculate cardinalfish), 120 nucleotides. RefSeq lists it as uncharacterized. The record is from RefSeq and is a predicted model, not a curated record. Lineage: Eukaryota; Metazoa; Chordata; Actinopteri; Kurtiformes; Apogonidae. The transcript has 3 exons.
GAUAAAGGUGGAGUUUAACACCAAGGUUCAAGUUAGACUGUAGAUACAGGUGGAGUUUAACACCAGGGUUAGAGUUUGACUGUGGGUUGAGUUUAACACCAGGGUAAGAGUUAGACUGUG